This 106-nucleotide ribosomal RNA is filed under the name Mesocricetus auratus (golden hamster). Lineage: Eukaryota; Metazoa; Chordata; Mammalia; Rodentia; Cricetidae. The record is from RNAcentral.
CUGAGUCUAAUACCACCCUGAAUGUGCCCAAUCUCGUCUGAUCUAGGAAACUAAGCAGGGUCGAGCCUGGUUAGUACUUGGAUGGGAGAAAUGGGCAGAACUCACA